GGACUUUGGCAUAUGUUCAAGCACCACUUUCUUUGAUGGCCAGGUAUUGAGUUCUUGUAACUGGAAGUACAUGAAAUUUAGCCAAGUAUAAAAUACUUAUCCACAUUUGGUGAUAAACUAUAAAGUAUGGAAAUUUCUUUGUUUUCUUUGGCCUGGCGUAGUUUCAUCAAGGUAAUAAAUAGUUGUUCUUCUGGGGUUAGAUUGAAAGGUUUGUACUUUAAUUCGUAGGCAGCUGGUCCAAGUGAUUGAAAAAAAAAUUAAAA
This is a non-coding RNA of Ciona intestinalis (vase tunicate), 263 nucleotides long. The record is from RefSeq and is a predicted model, not a curated record. NCBI's taxonomy places the organism in Eukaryota, Metazoa, Chordata, Ascidiacea, Phlebobranchia, Cionidae.